GCACAAGCGGUGGAGCAUGUGGUUUAACUCGAAGCAACGCGCAGAACCUUACCAACCUUUGACAUGUCCGGUAUGGGGAGUGGAGACAUUCCUCUUCAGUUCGGCUGGCCGGAACACAGGUGCUGCAUGGCUGUCGUCAGCUCGUGUCGUGAGAUGUUGGGUUAAGUCCCGCAACGAGCGCAACCCUCGCCCCUAGUUGCCAUCAUUCAGUUGGGCACUCUAGGGGGACUGCCGGUGAUAAGCCGCGAGGAAGGUGGGGAUGACGUCAAGUCCUCAUGGCCCUUACAGGUUGGGCUAUACACGUGCUACAAUGGUCGGUACAGCGGGUCGCGAUCCCGCGAGGUGGAGCCAAUCCCAAAAAACUGUCCUCAGUUCGGAUUGUAGUCUGCAACUCGACUACAUGAAGCUGGAAUCGCUAGUAAUCGCGCAUCAGCAAUGGCGCGGUGAAUACGUUCCCGGGC
RNAcentral lists this ribosomal RNA (461 nucleotides) under uncultured bacterium. Its description in RNAcentral is "bacterial SSU rRNA". It matches the Rfam family "Bacterial small subunit ribosomal RNA", at positions 923 to 1379 of the family's 1533-position model. The record is from RNAcentral.